Long non-coding RNA from Peromyscus maniculatus bairdii (prairie deer mouse), 493 nucleotides. RefSeq lists it as uncharacterized. NCBI's taxonomy places the organism in Eukaryota, Metazoa, Chordata, Mammalia, Rodentia, Cricetidae. The record is from RefSeq and is a predicted model, not a curated record.
UCUUCUCUGGAACUCUUGACUGCCAUUGUGAUGUCAUGCGUGACCCUUUUGCCUUCUUCCAGAUGUCUAACAUCAACACAAAAUAUUGGCAAUUGUGACCAUUUCGGGCUCCAAAAACAUUAUUACUUGCUUUGUUUCUAGCCAGACUUUAGCUUCUAGAGAAGGAGCUGGGAUAACGUCCAACGUUAAUACAAUAUGGGAGCCCUCGGUGGGACUUCCUGCCUCAUCUGGAUGCUCAGAGUGACCUCACCUUGCUUCCCCUCUCUUCAUCCUUCAUCAACUGCAGAGUGUCUAUAAUAGGAAAAGAUGUCACACUCACAAUGUGUUUAGCAUUGCUUCAAGGUAGCAAAUAAAACUGAAAGCAUACAUCUGAUUUUUCUUAAAUGUUAUUUAAUCAUAAUAACUAUGCUUUCCACAUUCUCUGAGUUUUACUUAAUGUACAGGUAUAUUUAUGUGCUUGAAGAAUAAAACACAUCAGCUCUAUUUUUAAAGA